RNAcentral lists this ribosomal RNA (468 nucleotides) under uncultured bacterium. RNAcentral describes it as "partial 16S ribosomal RNA". It matches the Rfam family "Bacterial small subunit ribosomal RNA", at positions 28 to 507 of the family's 1533-position model. The record is from RNAcentral.
GACGAACGCUGGCGGCGUGCUUAACACAUGCAAGUCGAACGGAAAGUCCCUGCUUUUUUGCGGUGCUCGAUUGGCGAACGCGUGCGUAUGACGUGAGUAACCUGCCCUUGACUUUGGGAUAACUUCAGGAAACUGAAGCUACGCCCAUAUAGCAGCCCCUGCUCCAUGGUAGGGGUUGGAACGUCUCGCCGGUUGGGGAUGGACUGGCGGAUGAUCAGCUUGUUGGUGGGGUAGUGGCUUACCAAGCCUGUGACGGGUAGGCGGCCUGAGAGUGUGACCGGCAACAAGGGGACUCAGAAACGGCACAGACCACUAAGGGAGGCAGCGGUGGGAAAUAUUGCACAACGGAAGGAGGCAUGAUGCGGAAACGCCGGGUGCGGGAAGACGGUCUUAGGGUAGUAAACCGCUUUCGCCUGAGACGAAGCGUGAGUGACGGUAAUGGGUAAAGAAGCACCGGCUAACUACGUG